UACGGGGGGAGCAAGCGUUGUUCGGAUUUACUGGGCGUAAAGGGCGCGUAGGCGGCACCGCAAGUCGAUUGUGAAAUCUCCGGGCUUAACCCGGAAAGGUCAACCGAUACUGCGGGGCUAGAGUGCAGAAGGGGCAACUGGAAUUCUUGGUGUAGCGGUGAAAUGCGUAGAUAUCAAGAGGAACACCUGCGGCGAAGGCGGGUUGCUGGGCUGACACUGACGCUGAUGCGCGAAAGCUAGGGGAGCGAACGGG
RNAcentral lists this ribosomal RNA (253 nucleotides) under uncultured bacterium. RNAcentral's name for it is "partial 16S ribosomal RNA". It matches the Rfam family "Bacterial small subunit ribosomal RNA", at positions 524 to 776 of the family's 1533-position model. The record is from RNAcentral.